Molecule: ribosomal RNA, 497 nt
Filed under: uncultured bacterium
Lineage: Bacteria
Description: partial 16S ribosomal RNA
Rfam family: Bacterial small subunit ribosomal RNA
Source: RNAcentral
GAUGAACGCUGGCGGCGUGCCUAAUACAUGCAAGUCGAGCGAACGGACGAGAAGCUUGCUUUUCUGAUGUUAGCGGCGGACGGGUGAGUAACACGUGGAUAACCUACCUAUAAGACUGGGAUAACUUCGGGAAACCGGAGCUAAUACCGGAUAAUAUUUUGAACCGCAUGGUUCAAAAGUGAAAGACGGUCUUGCUGUCACUUAUAGAUGGAUCCGCGCUGCAUUAGCUAGUUGGUAAGGUAACGGCUUACCAAGGUAACGAUGCAUAGCCGACCUGAGAGGGUGAUCGGCCACACUGGAACUGAGACACGGUCCAGACUCCUACGGGAGGCAGCAGUAGGGAAUCUUCCGCAAUGGGCGAAAGCCUGACGGAGCAACGCCGCGUGAGUGAUGAAGGUCUUCGGAUCGUAAAACUCUGUUAUUAGGGAAGAACAUAUGUGUAAGUAACUGUGCACAUCUUGACGGUACCUAAUCAGAAAGCCACGGCUAACCACGUG